GAAACUAAAAAAUAUAGAUAAUAAUUUCAAUUUUUAUUGCCCAUACAACUGGGAACUUUAAUUAAAGAUAAGCACAGUCUUCACUAAAGAAACUAAACAAUAUAGAUAGAAUCUUUACUUUAUUAAAAUAUUCCAUUAUCCUUUGUUUGUGUCUUCUCCUUAGUCAGUGAUGUCUGUUGUGCUGAUUGCAUUUUGAAUGUGUGACAUUAGAGUGCCGAGUGUUUCAGCUGAGUAAAACAUGUUUAAGGCACCACUACAUUUUCACAAGGAAUGUAUAAUGUCAUAUAUUCUUGGGUUUUUCCAGCACAGGCUGAACCGAAAGAUAGUGUCUGUAGUGCUGGCUAAGGAUGCAUGACACCUUAUUUUACUUUAUUUUCGUUUCCUAUUAAAUUAUUAACCUAAAAAAAUAUAUAAAACUCACUACCUUAGGACUGCUACUUUUAAUAUUAAUUCCAAUACCUUAAAUUGUAUGCAGAUCGCUGUCUGUAAACUGCCACCUUUAAAAUUCUUGAAUAUUAUAGUGAAUACUGAAUUGAUAGAACUGUUAAUUCUGAAUUAAUUUUGUAUUAUAACAUUAUCGGAUUGUGGUGGUACUUGAUACUUUAGAGUGGUAGUGCUAAACUAUUAUACUUACUUCAUUUGAACAUUCGGAUGCGUUGACUUUGUGUUUACAUUUAAAUUUGGAAUAUUUGAAUGGCACUUUUCUGCGUGCCAGUUCAUUCAUUUCAUUAUUACGGCUUGAUGUUACAAGAUUCAUGAAUACAGGGUGAGGGUCCCUGUCUAUAAGGGCCACGCCAACCUAACAAUUACAUAAAAAAAAAAUUCGGGUGCCGUUAUAAUACAAAAUUAAUUCAGAAUUAACAGUUCUAUCAAUUCAGUAUACCGUGCAUAAUUUUGUAAGUAUAAUGUGAUGUACAUCUUGCUCAUAUAUUAAUUAUUAAUCAAUGAUAAACUACUCAUUGUAAGAUUUUGAUUGUAAAAAAAGUUCCUGUGGACCUUAGCAGGUGUUAGCAUCCAUAUACUGCUAUCUGUUCUAUUCAAGAAUUAGACUUUUUCUUAAGUUAAAGAAAUUGUAACUACAGAUUCCCUCUAAAGCCAUUUUCCUGAUAUAGUACUAAAAUUGCAUAUUAGGAGAACUUUCAAACCGUUCUGUCAAUAAUAGGCUUCCAAAGAAUUUCGGCAUGAAAUGAUUUAAUACAUUAAGAUUGUUUAGUCGGGGUUUCAAUAUAGCUUAUAAUACGCGAUAGUCCUGUGCAUUUUCAUGCUUAUAUGAUUUAACUGGCGUCCGCCUUUUUUUUUUUUUUUUUUUUUUUUUUUUACAGUCACUCUGAAAAGUCAUAAAUGAAAAAGUUAAAUUAAGGCGCAAAAUUCAAGGAAGACAAACAUUCAAAAGGCUGCGUAAUGCAGGGCCCAGUAUGAUAAGCUCCAACAGACAGUUUGUACACCUCCUACUUACACUUCACUUAAAUCAGCAACAAUGAAUAAAAACAGUGAUCGGGCAUACGCAAAUUAACGAGUGGAAAAAAGUACUGGCGAAGAACAAGUCUUUCGAGGGAACGAAACUUGAUAGAUUUUGUUAUAUCAUUGAAGGUUUUUAACUAACAAACCAGACUACUUCAUUCCACAUAUUCAUGUAAAAAUUGGUAGAAAGUUCAUCAUUUAUUCACACUUACGUACAAAUAAAUACUCGUAUAUAAUAUAGGUUCACCUGCCUCGCCAAAAUUUUAAUGAGCCAUCUUUGAAUCCAGUGUGGAGUUCUAUGAAUUACGAAAAGUGCCUAAAUUAGCAGUCAAAUAGAUACAGACAAAUCAGUUAUUUCACGGUAUACG
Molecule: long non-coding RNA, 1829 nt
Organism: Mercenaria mercenaria
Lineage: Eukaryota; Metazoa; Mollusca; Bivalvia; Venerida; Veneridae
Exons: 3
Source: RefSeq, a predicted model, not a curated record